CCCAGACUCCUACGGGAGGCAGCAGUGAGGAAUAUUGGUCAAUGGCCGGAAGGCUGAACCAGCCAAGCCGCGUGAAGGACGAAGGUGCCAAGCAUUGUAAACUUCUUUUGUCAAGGGACAAAAUCAGGCUCGAGAGCCUGACCGAGGGUACUUGAAGAAAAAGCAUCGGCUAACUACGUGCCAGCAGCCGCGGUAAUACGUAGGGGGCGAGCGUUAUCCGGAUUUACUGGGUGUAAAGGGAGCGUAGACGGUUUUUCAAGUCUGAAGUGAAAGCCCGCGGCUCAACUGCGGAACGGCUUUGGAAACUGAGGGACUAGAGUGCUGGAGGGGCAGGCGGAAUUCCUGGUGUAGCGGUGAAAUGCGUAGAUAUCAGGAGGAACACCGGUGGCGAAGGCGGCCUGCUGGACAGUAACUGACGUUGAGGCUCGAAAGCGUGGGGAGCAAACAGGAUUAGAUACCCCAGUAU
This 466-nucleotide ribosomal RNA is filed under the name uncultured bacterium. RNAcentral describes it as "bacterial SSU rRNA". It matches the Rfam family "Bacterial small subunit ribosomal RNA", at positions 330 to 793 of the family's 1533-position model. The record is from RNAcentral.